CUCUGCUGAUGUGGGGUCUACAUCCUGAUCUGAAUCUGGUUUUGGGACACUUUCGUCCCCUCCCCCUCCUGCCUCACUACACUGGGCUCCGCCCCCAUCACUACCUCCAUCCUGCCCCUCCCCCUCCUCUCUCUGCCUCUGGGCUCCUGCUCUCUGAUUGGCUCCAGUCUCAUCAGUAGAUUCUGCUGCUGCUGCUGCUCUUCCUGUUUCCGCUUCCUGGUCCUGACUCUGUAUUGGAGCUGGUGCUGUUUUGGGUGGAGCAGCAAAGGAGGGGUGUUUAGAGUUCCCCCCCUCAGUCUCCACUCCUUUCUCUUCAGAAUCUUCACCCUGAUUUAGUGAUUCUGU
This is a long non-coding RNA of Anguilla rostrata (American eel), 345 nucleotides long. RefSeq lists it as uncharacterized. NCBI's taxonomy places the organism in Eukaryota, Metazoa, Chordata, Actinopteri, Anguilliformes, Anguillidae. The transcript is spliced from 3 exons. The record is from RefSeq and is a predicted model, not a curated record.